RNAcentral lists this ribosomal RNA (235 nucleotides) under uncultured bacterium. RNAcentral's name for it is "partial 16S ribosomal RNA". It matches the Rfam family "Bacterial small subunit ribosomal RNA", at positions 99 to 334 of the family's 1533-position model. The record is from RNAcentral.
CGCACGGGUGAGUAACACGUAUCCAACCUGCCGUCUACUCUUGGACAGCCUUCUGAAAGGAAGAUUAAUACAAGAUGGCAUCAUGAGUCCGCAUGUUCACAUGAUUAAAGGUAUUCCGGUAGACGAUGGGGAUGCGUUCCAUUAGAUAGUAGGCGGGGUAACGGCCCACCUAGUCUUCGAUGGAUAGGGGUUCUGAAAGGAAGGUCCCCCACAUUGGAACUGAGACACGGUCCAA